AUUGAACGCUGGCGGCAGGCCUAACACAUGCAAGUCGAGCGGAUGAAGGGAGCUUGCUCCUGGAUUCAGCGGCGGACGGGUGAGUAAUGCCUAGGAAUCUGCCUGGUCGUGGGGGAUAACGUCAGGAAACGGGCGCUAAUACCGCAUACGUCCUGAGGGAGAAAGUGGGGGAUCUUCGGACCUCACGCUAUCAGAUGAGCCUAGGUCGGAUUAGCUAGUUGGUGGGGUAAAGGCGUACCAAGGCGACGAUCCGUAACUGGUCUGAGAGGAUGAUCAGUCACACUGGAACUGAGACACGGUCCAGACUCCUACGGGAGGCAGCAGUAGGGAAUAUUGGACAAUGGGCGAAAGCCUGAUCCAGCCAUGCCGCGUGUGUGAAGAAGGUCUUCGGAUUGUAAAGCACUUUAAGUUGGGAGGAAGGGCAGUAAGUUAAUACCUUGCUGUUUUGACGUUACCAACAGAAUAAGCACCGGCUAACUUCGUG
Molecule: ribosomal RNA, 484 nt
Filed under: uncultured bacterium
Lineage: Bacteria
Description: partial 16S ribosomal RNA
Rfam family: Bacterial small subunit ribosomal RNA
Source: RNAcentral